GUCCUCUUGUUUAUAUUAUGAGGUCUGGUCUGCUCACUGAAAAUUUUAAAUAGCCGCGGUAUUUUGACCGUGCAAAGGUAGCAUAAUCAUUAGUCUUUUAAUUGAAGGCUGGAAUGAAUGGCUUGACGAGAAAUUAACUGUCUUUUAAUAAUUUAUAGAAUUUAACUUUUAAGUUAAAAGGCUUAAAUUUUAUUUUAGGACGAGAAGACCCUAUAGAGCUUAACAUAAAUAUUAUAUUUGGUUUUUAGUUAGUCUUUCCAUAUUUAGUGGUAAUGUUUUGUUGGGGUGACAUGGAGAAUAAAUAAACUUUUUAUUUUUAAAUCAUUAAUUUAUGUUUAUCUUGAUCCAUAAUUUAUGAUCAUAAGAUUAAGUUACCUUAGGGAUAACAGCG
RNAcentral lists this ribosomal RNA (391 nucleotides) under Caryanda elegans. RNAcentral describes it as "partial 16S ribosomal RNA". Lineage: Eukaryota; Metazoa; Arthropoda; Insecta; Orthoptera; Acrididae. The record is from RNAcentral.